Molecule: ribosomal RNA, 496 nt
Filed under: uncultured bacterium
Lineage: Bacteria
Description: partial 16S ribosomal RNA
Rfam family: Bacterial small subunit ribosomal RNA
Source: RNAcentral
GAUGAACGCUGGCGGCGUGCCUAAUACAUGCAAGUCGAGCGAACAGACGAGGAGCUUGCUCCUCUGACGUUAGCGGCGGACGGGUGAGUAACACGUGGAUAACCUACCUAUAAGACUGGGAUAACUUCGGGAAACCGGAGCUAAUACCGGAUAAUAUAUUGAACCGCAUGGUUCAAUAGUGAAAGACGGUUUUGCUGUCACUUAUAGAUGGAUCCGCGCCGCAUUAGCUAGUUGGUAAGGUAACGGCUUACCAAGGCAACGAUGCGUAGCCGACCUGAGAGGGUGAUCGGCCACACUGGAACUGAGACACGGUCCAGACUCCUACGGGAGGCAGCAGUAGGGAAUCUUCCGCAAUGGGCGAAAGCCUGACGGAGCAAUGCCGCGUGAGUGAUGAAGGUCUUCGGAUCGUAAAACGCUGUUAUAGGGAAGAACAAAUGUGUAAGUAACUAUGCACGUCUUGACGGUACCUAAUCAGAAAGCCACGGCUAACUACGUG